Molecule: microRNA precursor, 203 nt
Filed under: Oryza brachyantha (malo sina)
Lineage: Eukaryota; Viridiplantae; Streptophyta; Magnoliopsida; Poales; Poaceae
Description: MIR812 microRNA precursor family
Rfam family: MIR812 microRNA precursor family
Source: Rfam by way of RNAcentral
AAUAAAACAAUCUAUCACUUUUUACCUACAAUAUUUCACUCUUCAUCUUAUUUAAAUUUUUUUUACAAUUAAUAUUUUUUUAUUAGAUGAUAAAUUAUGAAUAAUAUUUUACGUGUGACUAAUUUUUUUCAAUUUCUUAAAUUUUUUUUAAAUAAGACGGAUAGUCAAACGCUGGACACAGAUGGUCAAAAGUUUGAUUUAUU